UACAUAGGGUGCAAGCGUUGUCCGGAAUUAUUGGGCGUAAAGAGCUCGUAGGUCGUUUGUUACGUCGGAUGUGAAAACCUGAGGCUCAACCUCAGGCCUGCAUUCGAUACGGGCAAACUAGAGUUUGGUAGGGGAGACUGGAAUUCCUGGUGUAGCGGUGGAAUGCGCAGAUAUCAGGAGGAACACCAAUGGCGAAGGCAGGUCUCUGGGCCAAUACUGACACUGAGGAGCGAAAGUCUGGGGAGCGAACAGG
Molecule: non-coding RNA, 253 nt
Filed under: uncultured bacterium
Lineage: Bacteria
Also listed under: 1 other name
Description: partial 16S ribosomal RNA
Rfam family: Bacterial small subunit ribosomal RNA
Source: RNAcentral